This 533-nucleotide ribosomal RNA is filed under the name Meyerozyma caribbica. RNAcentral describes it as "eukaryotic LSU rRNA". It matches the Rfam family "Eukaryotic large subunit ribosomal RNA", at positions 83 to 632 of the family's 3401-position model. The record is from RNAcentral. Lineage: Eukaryota; Fungi; Ascomycota; Pichiomycetes; Serinales; Debaryomycetaceae.
GUAGCGGCGAGUGANGCGGCAAAAGCUCAAAUUUGAAAUCUGGCACCUUCGGUGUCCGAGUUGUAAUUUGAAGAUUGUAACCUUGGGGUUGGCUCUUGUCUAUGUUUCUUGGAACAGGACGUCACAGAGGGUGAGAAUCCCGUGCGAUGAGAUGCCCAAUCCUAUGUAAGGUGCUUUCGAAGAGUCGAGUUGUUUGGGAAUGCAGCUCUAAGUGGGUGGUAAAUUCCAUCUAAAGCUAAAUAUUGGCGAGAGACCGAUAGCGAACAAGUACAGUGAUGGAAAGAUGAAAAGAACUUUGAAAAGAGAGUGAAAAAGUACGUGAAAUUGUUGAAAGGGAAGGGUUUGAGAUCAGACUCGAUAUUUUGUGAGCCUUGCCUUCGUGGCGGGGUGACCCGCAGCUUAUCGGGCCAGCAUCGGUUUGGGCGGUAGGAUAAUGGCGUAGGAAUGUGACUUUGCUUCGGUGAAGUGUUAUAGCCUGCGUUGAUGCUGCCUGCCUAGACCGAGGACUGCGAUUUUAUCAAGGAUGCUGGCAU